AUACUUACCUGACGCGAGAGGCACCUUGAUCAACUAGGAGGUCCUCUCAGGAUGAGGCCCUUUCAUUGCACUUCGACUGGGUUGACUCCUGCGAUUACCCCUAAUGUGGGUAACUCGAGCGUGUAAUUUCUGGUAGUGGGGACCUGCGUUCGCGCUCGUCCCCU
Molecule: non-coding RNA, 164 nt
Organism: Paramuricea clavata
Lineage: Eukaryota; Metazoa; Cnidaria; Anthozoa; Malacalcyonacea; Plexauridae
Source: the annotation of a GenBank genome assembly